GAUCAGAUACCGUCGUAGUCUUAACCAUAAACUAUGCCGACCAGGGAUUGGAAGACGUCUUAUCCUGUUUUAAACCAGCAGGAAAACUCCUUCAGUACCUUACGAGAAAUCAUAAGUCUUUGGGUUCUGGGGGGAGUAUGGUCGCAAGGCUGAAACUUAAAGGAAUUGACGGAAGGGCACCACCAGGAGUGGAGCCUGCGGCUUAAUUUGACUCAACACGGGAAAACUUACCAGGUCCAGACACAGUUAGGAUUGACAGAUUGAGAGCUCUUUCUUGAUUCUGUGGGUGGUGGUGCAUGGCCGUUCUUAGUUGGUGGAGUGAUUUGUCUGGUUAAUUCCGAUAACGAACGAGACCUCAGCCUGCUAAUUAGUGAUGCGAAUGAUCACAUCCUUUAUGGGGAGGGUUCUAACUGCAAGCUUGGGGGCAACUCCGAGAUUCGGUUGGAAAACUCGUUUUCAUUCGUCAGAAUUGGUUGAGACUUCGGUUAAAACUAUUCGUUAAUGACUUCUUAGAGGGACACUUGGUGUUUAACCAAGGGAAGUUUGAGGCAAUAACAGGUCUGUGAUGCCCUUUAGAUGUUCUGGGCUGCACGCGCGCUACACUGAUACGAUCAACGAGUACUGAAGACCUCGGCCGAAAGGUUGGGGUAAACUUUUGAAAUCGUAUCGUGCUGGGGAUCGAUAAUUGCAAUUAUUUAUCGUGAACGAGGAAUUCCUAGUAAGCGCAAGUCAACAGCUUGCGCUGAUUACGUCCCUGCCCUUUGUACACACCGCCCGUCGCUCCUACCGAUGUUUGGUCCGGUGAAAUCUUAGGAUUCGUGGCAUACGCUCGUCGGCUCCUUCGGGGGAAGAUGAGUUUGUCGUGGAGAAUUUGAGUAAACCUUGCCAAAUAGAGGAAGGAGAAGUCGUAACAAGGUAUUCGUAGGUGAACCUGCAGAAGGAUCAAAUCG
Molecule: ribosomal RNA, 950 nt
Filed under: Paramoeba eilhardi
Lineage: Eukaryota; Discosea; Flabellinia; Dactylopodida; Paramoebidae
Description: bacterial SSU rRNA
Rfam family: Eukaryotic small subunit ribosomal RNA
Source: RNAcentral